CGCGGCCUAUCAGCUUGUUGGUGGGGUAAUGGCUCACCAAGGCGACGACGGGUAGCCGGCCUGAGAGGGUGACCGGCCACACUGGGACUGAGACACGGCCCAGACUCCUACGGGAGGCAGCAGUGGGGAAUAUUGCACAAUGGGCGAAAGCCUGAUGCAGCGACGCCGCCUGAGGGAUGACGGCCUUCGGGUUGUAAACCUCUUCAGCACGGAAGAAGCGAAAGUGACGGUACGUGCAGAAGAAGCGCCGGCUAACUACGUGCCAGCUGCCGCGGUAAUACGUAGGGCGCAAGCGUUGUCCGGAAUUAUUGGGCGUAAAGAGAUCGUAGGCGGUUUGUCGCGUCUGCUGUGAAAGCCCGGGGCUUAACCCCGGGUGUGCAGUGGGUACGGGCAGACUUGAGUGCAGUAGGGGAGACUGGAAUUCCUGGUGUAGCGGUGAAAUGCGCAGAUAUCAGGAGGAACACCGAUGGCGAAGGCAGGUCUGUGGCCUGUUAUUGACGCUGAGGAGCGAAAGCAUGGGGAGCGAACAGGAUUAGAUACCGUGGUAGUCCAUGCCGUAAACGUUGGGCUCUAGGUGUGGGGAACAUUCCACGUUUUCCGCGCCGUAGCUAACGCAUUAAGUGCCCCGCCUGGGGAGUACGG
Molecule: ribosomal RNA, 642 nt
Filed under: uncultured bacterium
Lineage: Bacteria
Description: bacterial SSU rRNA
Rfam family: Bacterial small subunit ribosomal RNA
Source: RNAcentral